Molecule: long non-coding RNA, 1228 nt
Filed under: Mus spicilegus (steppe mouse)
Lineage: Eukaryota; Metazoa; Chordata; Mammalia; Rodentia; Muridae
Description: lncRNA (ENSMSIG00000001690.1)
Source: RNAcentral
CGCAGCUGACAUCAAAAGGUCACAGGGCACCCAGCCUUUUGAAAAACCUUCCUGCAUGAUCAGGUGACCGGGGCUGCGGGAACAGGUAACAUGUACUUGAGGAGAAUAAACCGACCGACAAAAAGAAGAUGAGGACAGGUGAUUUGAAUAAAGUGAGUUAUUUAUGCAUUGCCGUUAUUUACGCCGAGAAAUUCUGGUUUCCAGGGCAGCAUCUUAAGUUUUCUUUAAGAAAAGGAAUUUAUGAAGUGAAAUAUGUGCGUUGAUUUACAGGGAGAGACAUUGCUUCGUUUCACAGAAUGUAAAGUAAUCAUCAAGGUUUGGCCGGUUUCUCUGUAGCAGGGUGUGCUCAUCGGAAUCGAACUUGGCCAAAGCAGACGUGCUUUAAAAUAGAGACCCUCACCCAGAAAAUGGGUAUCUCUCCUUAUUAUUUUUAUGAAACUGAUAUGAAACCCUUCACAAGGAGGAAGACAAUACUUACAAUUUUUUAAGGAAGUGCUUGUACCGAACUGAGACAGCUGUAGUGUACUCGUGGACAUCAACACACAAGAAUGUUAUCUUUCUGCUCUUCAUUUUCUUCCUCACUUGAACCUGUUUGUGAGUCCAGCAUGGCCAUGUAAGGGACGGAAUGUCAUGGUUCCUACCCUUGGAAGGGGGACAGCAGGCCUUGGGCCUCCGUGAGUGUUGAUGGUUGCUGUGGGUGUAAGGCUUAUUUGUAUAAUAAUUACCAUAGUUUCAUGCUCCUUCUCUGAGGAAUGCCCUCUCUGCUAAGGUUAAAGACUCCAUGAUAAUCAGAGACAACAAGAGUCUGGGAGGCACAAAGUUUGGAGCUGAGGUGGAAGGAAGGACCAUCCCGGUGAUCCAUCCCAUAAACAACCACUAAACCUAGACACUAUAACAUAUGCCAGUAAGAUUUUGCUGACAGGACCCUGAUAUAGCUGUCUCUUGUGAGACUAUGCCGGGGCCUAGCAAACACAGAAGUGGAUGCCCCCAGUCAUCUAUUGGACGGAACACAGGGCCCCCAAUGGAGGAGCUAGAGAAAGUACCCAGGGAGCUGAAGAGGGCUGCAACCCUAUAGGAGGAACAACAAUAUGAACUAACCAGUACCCCAGAGCUCGUGUCUCUAGCUGCAUAUGUAGCAGAGGAUGGCCUAGUCAGCCAUCAUUGGGAAAAGAGGCCCUUGAUCUUGUGAAGAUAAUAUGCCCCAGUACAGGGGAAUGCCAGGGAUGGG